UACGGAGGGUGCAAGCGUUAUCCGGAUUCACUGGGUUUAAAGGGAGCGCAGGCGGACUGGUAAGUCAGUGGUGAAAGCCCUGGGCUCAACCCGGGAACUGCCAUUGAUACUAUCAGUCUUGAAUAUCGUUGAGGUUUGCGGAAUGGGUCAUGUAGCGGUGAAAUGCAUAGAUAUGACCCGGAACACCUAUUGCGAAGGCAGCAGGCUAAGCGAAGAUUGACGCUGAGGCUCGAAAGCGUGGGGAUCAAACAGG
Molecule: ribosomal RNA, 253 nt
Filed under: uncultured bacterium
Lineage: Bacteria
Also listed under: 1 other name
Description: partial 16S ribosomal RNA
Rfam family: Bacterial small subunit ribosomal RNA
Source: RNAcentral